Molecule: ribosomal RNA, 631 nt
Filed under: uncultured bacterium
Lineage: Bacteria
Description: bacterial SSU rRNA
Rfam family: Bacterial small subunit ribosomal RNA
Source: RNAcentral
UGCAGUCGAGCGCGCCUUCGGGUGAGCGGCGGACGGGUUAGUAACGCGUGGGAACGUGCCCUUCUCUACGGAAUAGCCUCUGGAAACGGAGAGUAAUACCGUAUACGCCCUUUGGGGGAAAGAUUUAUCGGAGAAGGAUCGGCCCGCGUUAGAUUAGGUAGUUGGUGGGGUAACGGCCUACCAAGCCUACGAUCUAUAGCUGGUUUUAGAGGAUGAUCAGCAACACUGGGACUGAGACACGGCCCAGACUCCUACGGGAGGCAGCAGUGGGGAAUCUUAGACAAUGGGGGCAACCCUGAUCUAGCCAUGCCGCGUGAGUGAUGAAGGCCUUAGGGUCGUAAAGCUCUUUCGCCUGUGAUGAUAAUGACAGUAGCAGGUAAAGAAACCCCGGCUAACUCCGUGCCAGCAGCCGCGGUAAUACGGAGGGGGUUAGCGUUGUUCGGAAUUACUGGGCGUAAAGCGCGCGUAGGCGGAUUAGAAAGUUGGGGGUGAAAUCCCGGGGCUCAACCCCGGAACUGCCUCCAAAACUGCUAGUCUAGAGUUCGAGAGAGGUGAGUGGAAUUCCGAGUGUAGAGGUGAAAUUCGUAGAUAUUCGGAGGAACACCAGUGGCGAAGGCGGCUCACUGGCUCG